Molecule: long non-coding RNA, 337 nt
Organism: Ostrea edulis (European flat oyster)
Lineage: Eukaryota; Metazoa; Mollusca; Bivalvia; Ostreida; Ostreidae
Exons: 3
Source: RefSeq, a predicted model, not a curated record
AAAGAACUGAUACCCCGCAUACACGCCGGGAACGGUUUUUUAUGGUAAAGUCAAACAGUAUGGAAUCUCCGGGAACGUAACCAGUCCUGCAUAUUCUGAGAAUGCCUGUGAUGGGUCCCGAUUUGCAGCACCAACAACAGAGAUGACGGCAAUGUGGAUGGAAGAGUGAAAGAGAAAUGGAAGAGAUGUCGACCUUGUGGAAGCCAUUCUCCAGUGUCAACUGCUGAAAAUAAUCAACUGCAAGUGAACGAUGGUGCAAGACAAAGGAGUGGUAGAUAUGUACAUACGCAUUGCUGGUGGAACGGAGGGUGCGGUUGCCGAGUGCAUUUGUUGAUAU